This is a non-coding RNA of Leptonychotes weddellii (Weddell seal), 422 nucleotides long. The record is from RefSeq and is a predicted model, not a curated record. Lineage: Eukaryota; Metazoa; Chordata; Mammalia; Carnivora; Phocidae.
CAAGAGACGAGAGCCUGAACAGCCUUCUUCAGGAAUACCAGAUCUACUACUGGGAGCUGGAGUCAGAGGUAUGCUCAGCCACCAUGUCCAAGAUGCUCAAAACCCCUCCGGCUUUACGGGCUGAGCUCCCAGCCCUUGGGUUCAGUGGAGAAAUAAUUCACCAUGUCAGUGACUGCAGUGGCCUUAGGCAUGUGGGGAACACAGGAGAUAAAGAUGAAUGAGAGAAGAAGUUUCUAGACCAGUGGGAAGGCAGAUGCUUCAUCAGCCACCGUCUGUUUGCUCCACUUGGCCUCCCAAGCCGGAGAAGCUGGCUAAUAACACUUCGGUGACUGGAACACACCGGACUGGCUCUUCAACGUCAAGUGGGUACGGCUGAUUGUUUUGUGUUUGGGGGAGCUGCAGUCCCUGUCUCGGACUGCACA